GGGGCAGAGAGGUUGUCACUUACUCAGAGUCUGCACACACUCAAGUAUUAAGUCAGAGGCAAGUCUAGAACCCAGGUCUUCCUGACUGAGACUGGCUCUCUAUUCACUCUACCUGCCCGCCUCUGUGGCAUGUAGGGAAGGCAGUGGGAGGGUUGAGAAUGAAUUCCCAGAGGGAGGGGCCUGCUUCCCAAAAGUAGACCAGACUGGAGACAUCGUGGGAUCUGCUCUCACAAAGGGUGACCUAGAGGAUGUCUCCUGACUGGGCAUGGAAAUAACUCAUGACCAGCAAAUAUGGUAUAAUAGCUAAGGUAGGGUAUCUCCUUGAGGAUCCCAUAACCUAAUUCAAACUCUUAUCCCCC
RNAcentral lists this RNase P RNA (359 nucleotides) under Vombatus ursinus (common wombat). RNAcentral's name for it is "Nuclear RNase P (ENSVURG00010009549.1)". It matches the Rfam family "Nuclear RNase P". From Rfam's summary of the family: Ribonuclease P (RNase P) is a ubiquitous endoribonuclease, found in archaea, bacteria and eukarya as well as chloroplasts and mitochondria. Its best characterised activity is the generation of mature 5'-ends of tRNAs by cleaving the 5'-leader elements of precursor-tRNAs. Lineage: Eukaryota; Metazoa; Chordata; Mammalia; Diprotodontia; Vombatidae. The record is from Rfam by way of RNAcentral.